CCACAAUGAAAGUAGAUGUCCG
Molecule: microRNA, 22 nt
Filed under: Ciona intestinalis (vase tunicate)
Lineage: Eukaryota; Metazoa; Chordata; Ascidiacea; Phlebobranchia; Cionidae
Description: cin-miR-4045-5p
Source: miRBase by way of RNAcentral